This 562-nucleotide small RNA is filed under the name Pongo abelii (Sumatran orangutan). RNAcentral describes it as "processed transcript". The record is from RNAcentral. Lineage: Eukaryota; Metazoa; Chordata; Mammalia; Primates; Hominidae.
GUGCGUCGGAGUGAGCCCGGAUGGGGCGGCGGGCUUCGGGAGCGCUGGGGCUGAUCCGAGCUGAGCGGGCCGUAUCUCCUUGUCGGCGCCGCUGAUUCCCGGCUCUGAGGAGGCCUCUAGGCAGCCGCGCAGCUUCCGUGUUUGCUGCGCCCGCACUGCGAUUUACAGUCCUGAAGAAUCUCCCUAUCCGUAUUUUGUCCCCCUGCAGUAAUAAAUCCCAUUAUGGAGAUCUCGAAACUUUAUAAAGGGAUAUAGUUUGAAUUCUAUGGAGUGUAAUUUUGUGUAUGAAUUAUAUUUUUAAAACAUUGAAGAGUUUGCAGAAAGAAGAAUGUCUACAUAUUCAACUUUCCCCGCCGGGGUUCCUGUCUCAGAAAGGAGUCUUGCUCGUGCUGGUUUUUAUUAUACUGGUGUGAAUGACAAGGUCAAAUGCUUCUGUUGUGGCCUGAUGCUGGAUAACUGGAAACUAGGAGACAGUCCUAUUCAAAAGCAUAAACAGCUAUAUCCUAGCUGUAGCUUUAUUCAGAAUCUGGUUUCAGCUAGUCUGGGAUCCACCUCUAAGAAU